GACGAACGCUGGCGGCGUGCUUAACACAUGCAAGUCGAACGGAAAGGCCCUGCUUUUGUGGGGUGCUCGAGUGGCGAACGGGUGAGUAACACGUGAGUAACCUGCCCUUGACUUUGGGAUAACUUCAGGAAACUGGGGCUAAUACCGGAUAGGAGCUCCUGCUGCAUGGUGGGGGUUGGAAAGUUUCGGCGGUUGGGGAUGGACUCGCGGCUUAUCAGCUUGUUGGUGGGGUAGUGGCUUACCAAGGCUUUGACGGGUAGCCGGCCUGAGAGGGUGACCGGCCACCUUGGGACUGAGAUACGGCCCAGACUCCUACGGGAGGCAGCAGUGGGGAAUAUUGCACAAUGGGCGGAAGCCUGAUGCAGCAACGCCGCGUGCGUGAUGACGGCCUUCGGGUUGUAAACCGCUUUCGCCUGUGACGAAGCGUGAGUGACGGUAAUGAGUAAAGAAGCACCGGCUAACUACGUG
Molecule: ribosomal RNA, 468 nt
Filed under: uncultured bacterium
Lineage: Bacteria
Description: partial 16S ribosomal RNA
Rfam family: Bacterial small subunit ribosomal RNA
Source: RNAcentral